This 378-nucleotide ribosomal RNA is filed under the name uncultured bacterium. Its description in RNAcentral is "bacterial SSU rRNA". It matches the Rfam family "Bacterial small subunit ribosomal RNA", at positions 521 to 896 of the family's 1533-position model. The record is from RNAcentral.
UAAGACGUAGGGCGCGAGCGUUGUCCGGAUUUAUUGGGCGUAAAGAGCUCGUAGGCGGCUCAUUGCGUCAACCGUGAAAUCCUGCUGCUCAACGGCAGGUCUGCGGUUGAUACGGGUGGGCUGGAGUUCGGUAGGGGAGACUGGAAUUCCUGGUGUAGCGGUGAAAUGCGCAGAUAUCAGGAGGAACACCGGUGGCGAAGGCGGGUCUCUGGGCCGAUACUGACGCUGAGGAGCGAAAGCGUGGGGAGCGAACAGGAUUAGAUACCCUGGUAGUCCACGCUGUAAACGUUGGGCGCUAGGUGUGGGGGGCCUCUCCGGUUCUCUGUGCCGCAGCUAACGCAUUAAGCGCCCCGCCUGGGGAGUACGGCCGCAAGGCUA